GGCAACAGCUCAAAUUUGAAAUCUGGCCCCUCGGGGUCCGAGUUGUAAUUUGUAGAGGAUGCUUUUGGUGAGGUGCCGCCCGAGUUCCCUGGAACGGGACGCCACAGAGGGUGAGAGCCCCGUCUGGCUGGCCACCGAGCCUCUGUAAAGCUCCUUCGACGAGUCGAGUAGUUUGGGAAUGCUGCUCAAAAUGGGAGGUAUAUGUCUUCUAAAGCUAAAUAUUGGCCAGAGACCGAUAGCGCACAAGUAGAGUGAUCGAAAGAUGAAAAGCACCUUGAAAAGAGGGUUAAAUAGUACGUGAAAUUGUUGAAAGGGAAGCGCUUGUGACCAGACUUGGGCGCGGCGGAUCAUCCGGGGUUCUCUCCGGUGCACUUCGCCGCGUCUAGGCCAGCAUCAGUUCGUCGCGGGGGAAAAAGGCUUCGGGAACGUGGCUCCUCCGGGAGUGUUAUAGCCCGUUGCAUAAUACCCUGCGGUGGACUGAGGACCGCGCAUCUGCAAGGAUGCUGGCGUAAUGGUCACCAGCGAC
This 526-nucleotide ribosomal RNA is filed under the name Trichoderma virens. Its description in RNAcentral is "partial large subunit ribosomal RNA". It matches the Rfam family "Eukaryotic large subunit ribosomal RNA", at positions 100 to 648 of the family's 3401-position model. Lineage: Eukaryota; Fungi; Ascomycota; Sordariomycetes; Hypocreales; Hypocreaceae. The record is from RNAcentral.